UGAUAGAUUUCCACUUUUUUUGGGCUUGUUCAUUUAAUUAUGUUCUAGUUCUCUUGCAUGAUAGCCACAUUUUGAAAACUUAUAUUGCUGUCGCAAUGCAGAACAUUGAACCUUUUACUUCCGAACCCGCCCUAUUACCCAUCAAAUUUUGAUAUUAAAUUAGCACACCUUAGUAACAGGACGUUUCUCAAUAUUAUUCGAUCAGAUUACUUUAGGAUCAUAACAACUGUACUACUUAAUUGCAAUCUAAUUUCUUAAAUUGAAUAAUCUUAAUCCUUAAUUCUGAAUAACCAAAGUAAAAAUCAGCAAUAUUUAAAUUUUAAGUUGUUCUUGUGAAGACUUGCUGAUUUCUGCAAUCAUAAUAGAUUCAUUAGUAGGUUGUCCUGCAUCAAAUUUGGUCCUACAUCAUAGUUAUUAGGGUUUCAUUAGUGACACUGCAUUUCACAUCAUCACCCAGUAUCAUCAUUGCAUGUCAACCUAUAGUGAUAUGGAGUACUAUCUCAAUCAACCUAAAACCCCUGUAGCUACCAUGAAUUCCGACAUUUUGAGGUCUAUCAUAGAAUAGAUCGUUGCCAUGCGGGCUGGAUACAAAGAAUUCACAUAAGAGAUCCGUAAGCUCAUGCAAAAUUCUAGGACCCCUACACCGCCAACCCCUAUUGCAGCCCAACCUAAAAUCGGUUUGGUUGCACCACCUGUAAUCCUUCCCCAUUUUCUUGGGCACCAAACCCAGUGCUCAAGGUGUCAACAAUUCGACUACAUAGCAUCCCAAUAUUCCAUUAGGACCUACCUGAUUACUGAACCAGAAGUUAGGAGCCAAGAGGUCGAAUAUGUCGAAGAAGUCUAUGAACCAAAUAUAGAAGACUAUGAAGAAGACUUUGAAGACGAACCUACAGAAUUAGACUUUGUCCAAAAUGAUUC
This 918-nucleotide long non-coding RNA is filed under the name Phoenix dactylifera (date palm). RNAcentral describes it as "long non-coding RNA (PDAC_LNC017029)". Lineage: Eukaryota; Viridiplantae; Streptophyta; Magnoliopsida; Arecales; Arecaceae. The record is from RNAcentral.